This 433-nucleotide ribosomal RNA is filed under the name uncultured bacterium. RNAcentral's name for it is "partial 16S ribosomal RNA". It matches the Rfam family "Bacterial small subunit ribosomal RNA", at positions 29 to 507 of the family's 1533-position model. The record is from RNAcentral.
AACGAACGCUGGCGGCAUGCCUAACACAUGCAAGUCGAACGAGACCUUCGGGUCUAGUGGCGCACGGGUGCGUAACGCGUGGGAACCUGCCCCUAGGUUCGGAAUAACUCCCCGAAAGGGGUGCUAAUACCGGAUAAUGUCCUCGGACCAAAGGUUUAUCGCCUUUGGAUGGGCCUGCGUUGGAUUAGCUAGUUGGUAGGGUAAAAGCCUACCAAGGCGACGAUCCAUAGCUGGUCUGAGAGGAUGAUCAGCCACACUGGGACUGAGACACGGCCCAGACUCCUACGGGAGGCAGCAGUGGGGAAUAUUGGACAAUGGGCGAAAGCCUGAUCCAGCAAUGCCGCGUGAGUGAUGAAGGCCUUAGGGUUGUAAAGCUCUUUUACCCGGGAUGAUAAUGACAGUACCGGGAGAAUAAGCUCCGGCUAACUCCGUG